RNAcentral lists this ribosomal RNA (253 nucleotides) under uncultured bacterium. RNAcentral describes it as "partial 16S ribosomal RNA". It matches the Rfam family "Bacterial small subunit ribosomal RNA", at positions 524 to 776 of the family's 1533-position model. The record is from RNAcentral.
UACGUAGGUGGCAAGCGUUGUUCGGAAUUAUUGGGCGUAAAGGGCGCGUAGGCGGUUUGUUAAGUCAGCUGUGAAAGCCCGGGGCUCAACCCCGGAGGGUCAGCUGAUACUGGCAGGCUAGAGUACAGAAGAGGUAACUGGAAUUCCCGGUGUAGCGGUGAAAUGCGUAGAGAUCCGGAGGAACACCAGUGGCGAAGGCGACACGCUGGGCCGUACCUGACACUGAUGCGCGACAGCAUGGGGAGCAAACAGG